AUGCACGCUGGCGGCGUGCCUAAUACAUGCAAGUCGAGCGAACAGACGAGGAGCUUGCUCCUCUGACGUUAGCGGCGGACGGGUGAGUAACACGUGGAUAACCUACCUAUAAGACUGGGAUAACUUCGGGAAACCGGAGCUAAUACCGGAUAAUAUAUUGAACCGCAUGGUUCAAUAGUGAAAGACGAUUUUGCUGUCACUUAUAGAUGGAUCCGCGCCGCAUUAGCUAGUUGGUAAGGUAACGGCUUACCAAGGCAACGAUGCGUAGCCGACCUGAGAGGGUGAUCGGCCACACUGGAACUGAGACACGGUCCAGACUCCUACGGGAGGCAGCAGUAGGGAAUCUUCCGCAAUGGGCGAAAGCCUGACGGAGCAACGCCGCGUGAGUGAUGAAGGUCUUCGGAUCGUAAAACUCUGUUAUUAGGGAAGAACAAAUGUGUAAGUAACUAUGCACGUCUUGACGGUACCUAAUCAGAAAGCCACGGCUAACUACGUG
Molecule: ribosomal RNA, 496 nt
Filed under: uncultured bacterium
Lineage: Bacteria
Description: partial 16S ribosomal RNA
Rfam family: Bacterial small subunit ribosomal RNA
Source: RNAcentral